AGUGAACGCUGGCGGCGUGCCUAAUACAUGCAAGUCGAACGGAGUGGCGCACGGGUGAGUAAUGUAUAGCUAAUCUGCCCUCCACUAGAGGACAACAGUUGGAAACGACUGCUACUACUCCAUAGUGUAGUUUGAGGCUAUCUUGUAUCAGCUAGUUGGUGAGGUAAUGGCGCACUAAGGCUAUGACGCAUAACUGGCCUGAGAGGAUGAUCAGUCAAACUGGAACUGAGACACCGUCGAGACACCUACGGAAGGCGGCAGUAGGCGAUAGUGGUCAGUGGGGGAGUACCUGAAGCAGCAACGCGGCGUAGAGGAUUACAAUUUUCGAGGCAUAAACUCCUUUUAUUAGGGAAACGGUACCUGACGAAGAAGCACCGGCUAACUCCGUGCCAGCAGCCGCGGUAAUUC
RNAcentral lists this ribosomal RNA (408 nucleotides) under uncultured bacterium. RNAcentral describes it as "partial 16S ribosomal RNA". It matches the Rfam family "Bacterial small subunit ribosomal RNA", at positions 29 to 526 of the family's 1533-position model. The record is from RNAcentral.